Long non-coding RNA from Hipposideros armiger (great roundleaf bat), 384 nucleotides. RefSeq lists it as uncharacterized. The record is from RefSeq and is a predicted model, not a curated record. NCBI's taxonomy places the organism in Eukaryota, Metazoa, Chordata, Mammalia, Chiroptera, Hipposideridae. The transcript has 4 exons.
UACAAGUUUCUGGAAAAUAUCUGUAAAGAGAAAUUCUGAUUAUCAUCCUGGAAAACAUACUUCAUACUUGCCCAAAGUCAAUGGGAACAUAAAAGAUUAUCUGAACUAAAAAGACAUUCCAGUGGCCUUGUGAAAGAGAGGAGGAACUAUGCAGAGGAAAUGAUAACAUUCAACAGAAUAAUAAAUAUAUCCGCUGAAGCCUCUACUUUAUGGCAAAGUACUGUUUCCUCAUUCCUAGGAUCUUGAGUCUAGAAGAUGAGGAAGCUGAUGUACAGACAAGUCACCUGACCAAAGUCACGUCACUGACUCCAUGUGGCUAAUUCCUGAACGUUGGGCAGACACAUGCUGAUCUUCAGCAGAGAAGGAUCUCAGACAGUGACCGUC